This 492-nucleotide ribosomal RNA is filed under the name uncultured bacterium. Its description in RNAcentral is "partial 16S ribosomal RNA". It matches the Rfam family "Bacterial small subunit ribosomal RNA", at positions 29 to 507 of the family's 1533-position model. The record is from RNAcentral.
AGUGAACGCUGGCGGUAGGCCUAACACAUGCAAGUCGAACGGCAGCACAGUAAGAGCUUGCUCUUACGGGUGGCGAGUGGCGGACGGGUGAGGAAUACAUCGGAAUCUACUUUUUCGUGGGGGAUAACGUAGGGAAACUUACGCUAAUACCGCAUACGACCUACGGGUGAAAGCAGGGGAUCUUCGGACCUUGCGCGAUUGAAUGAGCCGAUGUCGGAUUAGCUAGUUGGCGGGGUAAAGGCCCACCAAGGCGACGAUCCGUAGCUGGUCUGAGAGGAUGAGGAGACACACGGGAGCGAAGACACGGUCCAGACGCCAACGGGAGGCAGCAGUGGGGAAUAUGGGAAAAUGGGCGCAAGCCUGAUACAGCCAUAACGCGUGGGUGAAGAAGGCCUGCGGGUUGUAAAGCCCUUUUGUUGGGAAAGAAAGGCAGCAGGUUAAUACCCCGCUGUUCUGACGGUACCCAAAGAAUAAGCACCGGCUAACUUCGUG